This is a long non-coding RNA of Caretta caretta (loggerhead turtle), 2229 nucleotides long. RefSeq lists it as uncharacterized. The record is from RefSeq and is a predicted model, not a curated record. Lineage: Eukaryota; Metazoa; Chordata; Testudines; Cheloniidae.
UUAUCGAAUAGAAAAUGACUUAACAUAGUCAAAAUCACAAGCAUAUGUUAAUAUUUUCCUUUUGGGCAAUGGACAUGUAACACAAGAAGCAUUCCUUCUAUGCCAGUGGAUUCCAGACUAUUUUCCUCAAAGUGCAGAAGAUAACGUUUGUCAUGAAAUCACCUAUUAGACUAUUCAUCAAAGAAGGAGCAUGAACAUAUUUACUUCCUUUUCUUCACCAUGGGCUGAUGGACACUUGGAUGGAAAACUGGAGAGAACCAAGUCUAAAGAAGGGCCCCCUUUAAGACUAUGCCAUGUGGUAACACCAGCAAGACUUUCCUACGUGGGCAGACAUUAAUGAUCUCUUUGUCACAUAGAAGUCUGUGGUGUUAAAAAUACCAUUAUAAUACCACUUUAAACUGAAGCUUCUUAUUUCUUGAAAUGAUAUACUCCAAUCAUGAACCAUAACCAGAGCUGGGGCUUGCAUGUUUGAACAACAUACUGGUGCCACUGAUAACUAAUCCAACAGACAGCUGUAUGUUCUUAUCUCAAAGACUGACCAAUAUUCCUCUGAAAGAACUAACCAUUGCUUAGAAAGGGUGUCUCUUACUGUAAAAAAAUUAUAGUUUAUGAUUAGCACUUCCAGUAUGUCAGUUAUCAGGUUUUGUUAAGACUAAUGAGAACUUGAAAACUCAGAAUAUUAUCAAGAAAUUCAUUGUUUUCCCGAGUAACUUCACUAAUCAUUGUAUAAAAACAUAACUAAAAGCAGCCAUGUGUGUAAAGUGCCUUGAAGCUAGAAAAUACUUAAAUAUCACAUGAGAUUGAUAUUGUCCUUCAACACUGUGGGCAUAAUUAUUCUGUGGUUUGCGAAGGCAAAAGCAAAGUGCGCCACUCAUCACCUAAAGCCUGUACAGGAACUGUGCUGAAGGGUGACAGUCACCUAAUGGCCACAGAGUGGGGGGCUGGAUUUCUCCAAUUGACUUCAAUAGGCUUUGGAUCAGGCACACAGAGCCUUGAAGAUGGAGUAUAUUUUACCCAGAAAAAACACAUUACUGAAGAUAAGGGAGACCCCAUAUGGGGAAGGCAGAGGAGCAAGAGCUACAUAGAUUGGAACAGAAAUUGCUGAGGAGCUGCCCAGAACCUGCUGGAUGUUGAGAGGAGAUCAUCAUGGGACAAAGCAAGGGUCAGCUCCUGCUCCCAUGCAGUCUACAGGGAUUGCGACAUUGACUUCAACAGCAGGAGAACUGAGCUAUGAGCUAACAUUGAUAAUAUUGCACAAGUAGUGAUUGCAUGGAAACUUUCUCCCUUUAAAUUUUCCAUGGAUGGUAGCUUGCUAUGUAUUCUUGUAAGUGCUAUGUGCUAUGAACAUUUUCACAUUUCCUUGUAAGAUAUUUAGGAUCUGUCACAAAAAAAUCAAAAAGACACAAAUAUUCUAACACUUUAAAAAUAUUGUUUGAAAAGGGUUUUCACAGAGUUAAGAAACUGAAGAAUUCCUCGAUUCACAAGUACAGGUACUUUAGUGAAAAUGCCAGUUCCUGUGAUCCUGCAAUGCCAGACUUGUUGUAGUAUUGCCUAGUGUUAACCAAAAAUAUUUGCUAGAUUUUUUACAGGCAUUGAAAAGCAUUAUCUUAUUAUUAUUAAUUAUUAUUGUUGUUGUUUAUGGUUUAUUAUUAAAGUUGUUAUUAUAAGAUCUAAGAUUAAAGAUUUUGCAGUUAGUAAUAUCUUUAGGUAAUAAAUCAAAGAGCCCUCACCACAUUUACUACACAAUAUCAAAUAUCUAGGUGCCACAUCGUGUAAUCUAUCUAUCUUUCUUUCUUUCUUUCUGAAAUGCUAAAAUAUCAGAGAGUUGAUGACAGAGAAGAAAUGUUAGUACUGUAAUCAUAAAAGUUUUAACCCUUAUCUUUCAUCAUCUAACACUCAUUUACUCUCAGGUGCCCCAUUUUCCUUCUACAAAAAUCUCCUGUACAUACCAAGGUGAUGAACACAGUAUAAAUUCCUGAAUAGACUGAUAAGAUUUAAUUAGAUAGAUACUUUUGUUCUACUAUACUUCCAAUGAUAGAUAGGAUCAUGCUACUUAAAUAAACAGACCUAUGAAAAGAACAGAAAACUCAAGACCUUUACAUAUGCUUUCCAAAACUGUGAAUGUUUAACAAAUUUCACUUUGCAUGAAAAAUAAAAUAGCAAAAGGCUUGAAUAUACACAUCUGCUUUAUCAGUACAUUAAAAAACAUUCGCAGUAUGUAUGCUUUCA